GAAUGAAAAACAUACAUGGUACCUAAAGAGGCCAACAUAGAAGGGUUGAGUAAGUCUCCAUAAAACCCAGAGAAGAGAUGGUAAAAAUCCUUUUUGGAUCCUAUCUGGAGUCACAGCU
Phyllostomus discolor (pale spear-nosed bat) is the source of this 118-nucleotide small nucleolar RNA. RefSeq annotates it as small nucleolar RNA SNORA26. NCBI's taxonomy places the organism in Eukaryota, Metazoa, Chordata, Mammalia, Chiroptera, Phyllostomidae. The transcript has a single exon. The record is from RefSeq and is a predicted model, not a curated record.